RNAcentral lists this long non-coding RNA (962 nucleotides) under Nicotiana benthamiana. RNAcentral describes it as "long non-coding RNA (NBEN_LNC027424)". Lineage: Eukaryota; Viridiplantae; Streptophyta; Magnoliopsida; Solanales; Solanaceae. The record is from RNAcentral.
UCGCAUACAAAAACCACAUUCCCAUCACCUUAGAUUGAGGCAGACCCUAUACUCAAAUGUAACACCAGCUUUUCACAACACCAAUGCAGCAGUCUCAGUUUACCAAAAGUGUGUAAUUCUUGGAAAAUGGCAUAAACUUUUGGACUUAAAACCAAAAGAUUUCUGGAGAGAAAUGUACACUAUACAUAAAGGAAAGAUGCUAUAAAUUUCUGGACUUAAAAUAAGGAAUAUCUGGUAUGAAAACCAUACAGAAAUCAAAAAUUCCAUUCACCUUAAGAACCAGAUAGAACUAAAAAAUGAAGAACAUAAAGCAUUACGAAUGACAAAGAAAUGUUCACCAAAAUUAAAUUAAUUCUUUUUAACUACAUAAUAUAAAUUUUACAGUUUUAAGCUCAAGAAGCGAAACUGUAUUCGCAAAAAUAUCUCAGUUUGACACACCUACAUUAUUACCAAUUCUUACCCCAUGAAGAAUAAAAACAUCAGAAAAUAAAACUUACUGGUUGUGCCUAAUUCUAUAAACAAUACCAGCAAUCGACUAGAUGUUAAUGGCACAUUCUUUUUUCGCCUCCAAGUGGAGAUUCAAGUAGGCUUGUAGAAAAAUGCAAGAUUUAUCAAUUAAAAUACCUGACAAUCAAUAAAUAUUUUGCGCUUUCACAGCUGGAAAAUUCGUCAUCGAUCUCCUAAAUAAAAGUCUAAUUAGACUAUUGAAUCAAGUGAAAUACUUCCAUGUGAGGGGGGAAGAACCAAUGUAUUCUUCAAAUUGGAGGUGGGAGUACUUUGUUGAGGCAGAAGUUUCUACGGUGAAAAAGAUUGGGGAAAAAUUGGAGGGAGUGUGAAAUUAAUUAGCCCCUAUUAUCUUUGGGUUGCAAAAUUAUGCAAAUUAUUGAGGUUACUUAUAUCUUCCGCAAAUAAACCUCCAGAAUUUACAUGUUUGCGAAGGUUACUUAUACUGUUACAACCCC